GACGAACGCUGGCGGCGUGCUUAAUACAUGCAAGUCGAACGGACAGGCGCUGCUCUUGCGGGGUGCACGAGUGGGGAACGGGUGAGUGACACGUGAGUAACAUGCCCCUGUCUUUGGGAUAUCAUCUGGAAAAUGGGGCUCAUACAGGGUAGGAGAUACUGCUGCGUGGGGGUGGUUGGUGAGAUUCGGCGGUGUGGGAUGGUAUCGAGGGUUAUCAGCCUGAUGGUGAAGUAGUGGCUUACCAAGUCUAUGAAGGGUAGCCGGCCUGGGAGGUUGACCAGCCACAAUGGUACUAAGAGACGGCGCAGACUCCUACGUGACGCAGCAGUGGGGAAUAUGGCACAGUGGGCGCAAGCCUGAGGUAGCAACGCCGCGUGCGGGAUGAUGUGCUUCGAGUUGUAAACCGCUUUCGCCGGUGACGAAGCCUGAGUGACGGUAACUGGUAAAGAAGCACCGGCUAACUACGUG
This 468-nucleotide ribosomal RNA is filed under the name uncultured bacterium. Its description in RNAcentral is "partial 16S ribosomal RNA". It matches the Rfam family "Bacterial small subunit ribosomal RNA", at positions 28 to 507 of the family's 1533-position model. The record is from RNAcentral.